Oryza sativa (Asian cultivated rice) is the source of this 118-nucleotide non-coding RNA. The record is from Rfam. Lineage: Eukaryota; Viridiplantae; Streptophyta; Magnoliopsida; Poales; Poaceae.
GUGGCACCAAGCAUGAGGCAACAACUGCAUUACUUGCAAGAAAGGCACAAAAUCAUUAGAUGAUUACUUGUGGCUUUCUUGCAAGUUGUGCAGUUGCUGCCUCAAGCUUGCUGCCUCC